GGGGUAUUAGCUCAGUUGGUAGAGCGCUUCAAUGGCAUUGAAGAGGUCAGCGGUUCGAACCCGCUAUGCUCCA
This is a non-coding RNA of Akkermansia sp. KLE1798, 73 nucleotides long. NCBI's taxonomy places the organism in Bacteria, Pseudomonadati, Verrucomicrobiota, Verrucomicrobiia, Verrucomicrobiales, Akkermansiaceae. The record is from Rfam.